GGGUGAGCAGCAUGGAUCUUUAUGUCAAUGCCAUGGAGAUGGUCUCUCUGAGCUCCAGAGCUGAAGCUGGACCGGGAGAGGAGAGAGCAGCCCAGGGGACGGAGUAGGAGUAGAAUGAAGCUGACCCUACAUGCUGAUCUUAGCACCAUAUGUUCUUCAGAAGCUGGUCAGCAUAUGAAUAGAAUCCAUCUUCUCUCACCGUCUCCCCACAAGACCUACAUCACACAAGAUGCUUCAGAAUAACAACAACAAGCUGGUGAAGUUACUACCCAACAGGAACAGCCAUGACAACAACAACAAGCUGGUGAAGUUGCUACCCAACAGGAACAGCCAUGACAACAACAACAAGCUGGUGAAGUUGCUACCCAACAGGAACAGCCAUGACAACAACAACAAGCUGGUGAAGUUGCUACCCAACAGGAACAGCCAUGACAACAACAACAAGCUGGUGAAGUUGCUACCCAACAGGAACAACCAUGACAACAACAACAAGCUGGUGAAGUUACUACCCAACAGGAACAACCAUGACAACAACAACAAGCUGGUGAAGUUGCUACCCAACAGGAACAACCAUGACAACAACAACAACAAGCUGGUGAAGUUGCUACCCAACAGGAACAACCAUGACAACAACAACAAGCUGGUGAAGUUGCUACCCAACAGGAACAACCAUGACAACAACAACAAGCUGGUGAAGUUGCUACCCAACAGGAACAACCAUGACAACAACAACAAGCUGGUGAAGUUGCUACCCAACAGGAACAACCAUGACAACAACAACAAGCUGGUGAAGUUGCUACCCAACAGGAACAACCAUGACAACAACAACAAGCUGGUGAAGUUACUACCCAACAGGAACAACCAUGACAACAACAACAAGCUGGUGAAGUUACUACCCA
This 899-nucleotide long non-coding RNA is filed under the name Salmo salar (Atlantic salmon). RNAcentral describes it as "lncRNA (ENSSSAG00000107283.1)". The record is from RNAcentral. Lineage: Eukaryota; Metazoa; Chordata; Actinopteri; Salmoniformes; Salmonidae.